GCACCCGUAGCUCAGUGGAUAGAGCAGCAGACUUCUAAUCUGCCGGCCGCAGGUUCGAAUCCUGCCGGGUGCGCCA
Molecule: transfer RNA, 76 nt
Filed under: Lipingzhangella rawalii
Lineage: Bacteria; Bacillati; Actinomycetota; Actinomycetes; Streptosporangiales; Nocardiopsidaceae
Description: tRNA-Arg
Rfam family: tRNA
About the family: Transfer RNA (tRNA) molecules are approximately 80 nucleotides in length. Their secondary structure includes four short double-helical elements and three loops (D, anti-codon, and T loops).
Source: RNAcentral